AGUCAACUGACGAGUCCCAAAUAGAACGAAAUGCUCGUUAUCCUGGAU
Molecule: non-coding RNA, 48 nt
Filed under: Trichobilharzia regenti
Lineage: Eukaryota; Metazoa; Platyhelminthes; Trematoda; Strigeidida; Schistosomatidae
Source: RNAcentral